UGGAGAUGGAGGGAAGAAUGUGAGACUGAUUCCUGAGAGACCUUCCACUGGUCAGAUUCCUGUGUCCAUAGGCUGCCAGGGAAGAGAGAGAAGAGAAGGUGGAGUUCUGGGAAAAAAGUAGGAGCAGAUGGAGACAAACUUCCCAUACAAUAAGUCACACUGGCUAACUCUGUAGGCUCAGGUUGACUACUUUUACAUGAAC
Molecule: long non-coding RNA, 202 nt
Filed under: Fukomys damarensis (Damara mole-rat)
Lineage: Eukaryota; Metazoa; Chordata; Mammalia; Rodentia; Bathyergidae
Description: lncRNA (ENSFDAG00000023674.1)
Source: RNAcentral